RNAcentral lists this small RNA (56 nucleotides) under uncultured Butyricicoccus sp. RNAcentral's name for it is "Streptococcus sRNA SpF59 (ldcC RNA)". It matches the Rfam family "Streptococcus sRNA SpF59 (ldcC RNA)". The record is from RNAcentral. Lineage: Bacteria; Bacillati; Bacillota; Clostridia; Eubacteriales; Butyricicoccaceae.
UGACCACCUGGGCUUUUCCAGGGCGAGGCCAUACGGACAGCCGGGUCAACUGCCGA